RNAcentral lists this ribosomal RNA (468 nucleotides) under uncultured bacterium. Its description in RNAcentral is "partial 16S ribosomal RNA". It matches the Rfam family "Bacterial small subunit ribosomal RNA", at positions 28 to 507 of the family's 1533-position model. The record is from RNAcentral.
GACGAACGCUGGCGGCGUGCUUAACACAUGCAAGUCGAACGGAAAGGCCCUGCUUUUGUGGGGGGCUCGAGUGGCGAACGGGUGAGUAACACGGGAGUAACCUGCCCUUGACUUUGGGAUAACUUCAGGAAACUGGGGCUAAUACCGGAUAGGAGCUCCUGCUGCAUGGUGGGGGUUGGAAAGUGUCGGCGGUUGGGGAUGGACUCGCGGCUUAUCAGCUUGUUGGUGGGGUAGUGGCUUACCAAGGCUUUGACGGGUAGCCGGCCUGAGAGGGUGACCGGCCACAUUGGGACUGAGAUACGGCCCAGACUCCUACGGGAGGCAGCAGUGGGGAAUAUUGCACAAUGGGCGGAAGCCUGAUGCAGCAACGCCGCGUGCGGGAUGACGGCCUUCGGGUUGUAAUCAGCUUUCACCUGUGACGAAGCGUGAGUGACGGUAAUGGGUAAAGAAGCACCGGCUAACUACGUG